This 501-nucleotide ribosomal RNA is filed under the name uncultured bacterium. RNAcentral's name for it is "bacterial SSU rRNA". It matches the Rfam family "Bacterial small subunit ribosomal RNA", at positions 28 to 526 of the family's 1533-position model. The record is from RNAcentral.
GAUGAACGCUGGCGGCGUGCCUAACACAUGCAAGUCGAGCGAGAACCUAUCAAUUGACACUUCGGUUGAUUUUGAUAGCGGAAAGCGGCGGACGGGUGAGUAACGCGUAGGCAACCUGCCCAUAACAGAGGGAUAGCCUCGGGAAACCGGGAUUAAAACCUUAUGACACCGUAGCAUCACCUGAUGUAUCGGUCAAAGAUUUAUCGGUUAUGGAUGGGCCUGCGUCUGAUUAGUUAGUUGGUGAGGUAACGGCUCACCAAGGCAGUGAUCAGUAACCGACCUGAGAGGGUAAUCGGUCACAUUGGAACUGAGACACGGUCCAGACUCCUACGGGAGGCAGCAGUGGGGAAUAUUGCACAAUGGGCGCAAGCCUGAUGCAGCAACGCCGCGUGAACGAUGAAGGUUCUAUGAAUCGUAAAGUUCUGUUCUUGGGGAAGAAACAAAUGACGGUACCCAAGGAGCAAGCCCCGGCUAACUACGUGCCAGCCGCCGCUGUAAAAC